RNAcentral lists this ribosomal RNA (301 nucleotides) under uncultured bacterium. Its description in RNAcentral is "partial 16S ribosomal RNA". It matches the Rfam family "Bacterial small subunit ribosomal RNA", at positions 509 to 807 of the family's 1533-position model. The record is from RNAcentral.
CAGCCGCCGCGGGAAUACAGAGGGUGCGAGCGUUAAUCGGAUUUACUGGGCGUAAAGCGUGCGUAGGCGGCUUCUUAAGUCGGAUGUGAAAUCCCUGAGCUUAACUUAGGAAUUGCAUUCGAUACUGGGAAGUUAGAGUAUGGGAGAGGAUGGUAGAAUUCCAGGUGUAGCGGUGAAAUGCGUAGAGAUCUGGAGGAAUACCGAUGGCGAAGGCAGCCAUCUGGCCUAAUACUGACGCUGAGGUACGAAAGCAUGGGGAGCAAACAGGAUUAGAUACCCCCGUAGUCCCUGUCUCUUAUAC